UUUUUGGAAUGGUAACCCUUUCUAUUAAUGUAUAUUAACAGAUACAGCAUAUUAAAGAUAUUAUAUUGACGUUACAACAGAACUAUCAAAACCAAACAGAGUUUUAGGUUAGCUUUUACCACUCGCAAACCAAAAUGCGAUCGCAUCUACCCACUCGUAACUUGACGUUCGUAUACGCUCGAACAUUUGCGUAUACCAACGUGUGCGCGCGGUUCGAGAAUACCGAAUCUUCAAAACCGUUCGGAAGUUGGUCACUUGCGUAUGCGGAACUUAUUCGAACGAGUUCGAGAAUCGACCCCCUGGUCAAAAAAUACAAGAAGUUAUUCAGAAGCCGGGAGAGGAUGCAGACAAUAUCGACGAUAUAAUUAAUAGUUGUUUAGAUGCCGAGGAAGGUGUAGGUGCAACAGUUGCAACAGGAAAUGUUUGAAACUGAGAACAUACUGGGAACAAGACAGUGCAUCAUCGCAUACAACGAUGGACUGGGGCCCUAACAUUAUAAGCCAACUUUACGGACAGCUGAAUAAUUAAAAUUUCGACUCAAAAGAUCAGUUUGAAAAGAGCCAUAAGCCACCCAAAACAAAAAUUUGAUUAAACUAAAUUUUCUGGAAAAUAUACUAUUUCCAUACAAAAAAUUUAGUUCCAGCACUGCAGUAAGUAUUGCAGAGGGACCAUCUCAAGAUGAAACUGAAACGCCCUAAAAGAUGGCACUUUAGAGCAGGACUUCGUGACAUGGACCAGUCAAUAGAGUUUGAAAGAAUUGUUCGUAUCAGAAUAGAGAAUUUAUUUCAGAUUUCUGAAUAUCCACAAUUUGAAUGACGAGAUACGGUUUACACAUAAGAUGUUAGAAUAAAAGGGAUUAGUGAUGAAUAUGAUGGUUCACUCAAAUUUAUGCCAAAUUAAAUUUGACAUUUUGUGUUUAGAAACGGUUGCAACAUUUGUUUCUCCGCAGUGUCAGUUUGAUUGUCUUUCAAAAAUUCUUGUGAAAAUGGCAGAUUUAAAUGAACAGUUUCAUUACAAUUUGAUGCUGGCAAAAGCUUUAGUACAGCUAAUGCCAGCAGCAGACCGACAACAUAUCAGAAUUUGGUUUGAUGUACUGGCAGAGCUAAAUGAAAACGAAGAAGAAAUGAAUAUCAGAAAUGAAUAUAUUUGGUUUAUACUGCUCAUGUUACAAAAUAAUAAAAUUGAAGACUUUUUCAAAGAACUACCUCCCAGGAAAGUGUUACCUCUGAAAAAAGCGAUUCCACAAAAUAUUAUCGACGAUGUCUUAAUAGCUAGUGAUCAAAAUAUGUCUUGGUUGGAUACAGUUACUGAUGAAGAGAAGGAACAGAACUUGGCGAAAAAGAAAGUAGCACCUGAAAAAUUCCUUAGUAGUCAACCUCUUCCCAAGGACGGUGUGAUAUGCUACUUUGGGGCUUUUAGUGAUCAGUCUUAAAACUAUUUUAUUGGACGACUUUAUUUUAGGCAUACUUUCCGCCAAAUUCCCAUGAAAUAUCAUUAGAUGCCAUCUUUCCGCCAAUGACUGAAUUAUCUGCAAGACAUGCGUUAGUUUUCUGUUAAAGUGCGGAAAUUACAAGAACAGCUCUUAUUUAAAAAUGAAACAAAAUUGUAUUUUUCUACAAGACAAUAAAUACUUAUAUCAUUA
This is a long non-coding RNA of Zophobas morio, 1642 nucleotides long. RefSeq lists it as uncharacterized. The transcript has 4 exons. Lineage: Eukaryota; Metazoa; Arthropoda; Insecta; Coleoptera; Tenebrionidae. The record is from RefSeq and is a predicted model, not a curated record.